RNAcentral lists this ribosomal RNA (253 nucleotides) under uncultured bacterium. Its description in RNAcentral is "partial 16S ribosomal RNA". It matches the Rfam family "Bacterial small subunit ribosomal RNA", at positions 524 to 776 of the family's 1533-position model. The record is from RNAcentral.
UACGUAGGGUCCGAGCGUUGUCCGGAAUUACUGGGCGUAAAGAGCUCGUAGGUGGUUUGUCGCGUUGUUCGUGAAAACUCACAGCUUAACUGUGGGCGUGCGGGCGAUACGGGCAGACUGGAGUACUGCAGGGGAGACUGGAAUUCCUGGUGUAGCGGUGGAAUGCGCAGAUAUCAGGAGGAACACCGGUGGCGAAGGCGGCUCACUGGCUCAUUUCUGACGCUCAGGCGCGACAGCGUGGGGAUCAAACAGG